GGGUUGUGAGGUUAAGCGACUAAGCGUACACGGUGGAUGCCCUGGCAGUCAGAGGCGAUGAAGGACGUGCUAAUCUGCGAUAAGCGCCGGUAAGGUGAUAUGAACCGUUAUAACCGGCGAUUUCCGAAUGGGGAAACCCAGUGUGAUUCGUCACACUAUCAUUAACUGAAUCCAUAGGUUAAUGAGGCGAACCGGGGGAACUGAAACAUCUAAGUACCCCGAGGAAAAGAAAUCAACCGAGAUUCCCCCAGUAGCGGCGAGCGAACGGGGAGGAGCCCAGAGCCUGAAUCAGCAUGUGUGUUAGUGGAAGCGUCUGGAAAGGCGCGCGAUACAGGGUGACAGCCCCGUACACAAAAAUGCACAUGCUGUGAGCUCGAUGAGUAGGGCGGGACACGUGGUAUCCUGUCUGAAUAUGGGGGGACCAUCCUCCAAGGCUAAAUACUCCUGACUGACCGAUAGUGAACCAGUACCGUGAGGGAAAGGCGAAAAGAACCCCGGCGAGGGGAGUGAAAAAGAACCUGAAACCGUGUACGUACAAGCAGUGGGAGCACCCUUUGGGGUGUGACUGCGUACCUUUUGUAUAAUGGGUCAGCGACUUAUAUUCUGUAGCAAGGUUAACCGUAUAGGGGAGCCGGAGGGAAACCGAGUCUUAACCGGGCGUUAAGUUGCAGGGUAUAGACCCGAAACCCGGUGAUCUAGCCAUGGGCAGGUUGAAGGUUGGGUAACACUAACUGGAGGACCGAACCGACUAAUGUUGAAAAAUUAGCGGAUGACCUGUGGCUGGGGGUGAAAGGCCAAUCAAACCGGGAGAUAGCUGGUUCUCCCCGAAAGCUAUUUAGGUAGCGCCUCGUGAACUCAUCUCCGGGGGUAGAGCACUGUUUCGGCUAGGGGGCCAUCCCGGCUUACCAACCCGAUGCAAACUGCGAAUACCGGAGAAUGUUAUCACGGGAGACACACGGCGGGUGCUAACGUCCGUCGUGAAGAGGGAAACAACCCAGACCGCCAGCUAAGGUCCCAAAGUCAUGGUUAAGUGGGAAACGAUGUGGGAAGGCCCAGACAGCCAGGAUGUUGGCUUAGAAGCAGCCAUCAUUUAAAGAAAGCGUAAUAGCUCACUGGUCGAGUCGGCCUGCGCGGAAGAUGUAACGGGGCUAAACCAUGCACCGAAGCUGCGGCAGCGAACGUAUCACUUAAAGCGAUUCAGCGGGUUACGAUUGACGGAGCGAAGCGACGUCAAAGCGUAUACAAAGUCGAGUCGGUUUA
RNAcentral lists this ribosomal RNA (1260 nucleotides) under Salmonella enterica. Its description in RNAcentral is "partial 23S ribosomal RNA". It matches the Rfam family "Bacterial large subunit ribosomal RNA", at positions 1 to 1289 of the family's 2925-position model. RNAcentral also lists the same sequence under 1 other name. The record is from RNAcentral. Lineage: Bacteria; Pseudomonadati; Pseudomonadota; Gammaproteobacteria; Enterobacterales; Enterobacteriaceae.